RNAcentral lists this long non-coding RNA (210 nucleotides) under Homo sapiens (human). RNAcentral describes it as "non-protein coding lnc-SPTLC1-2:2". Lineage: Eukaryota; Metazoa; Chordata; Mammalia; Primates; Hominidae. The record is from RNAcentral.
GGUAUCAGCAUUUUCUACCUGGGAGAAAGAAUUACACAAAAUCGUGUUUGACCCACGCUAUCUCCUGCUCAACUCUGAGGAACGAAAGCAGAUAUUUGAACAGUUUGUCAAGACAAGAAUAAAAGAAGAAUACAAGGAAAAGAAAAGUAAAUUGCUGCUAGCCAAAGAACAAUUCAAGAAACUUCUAGAUGAAUCGAAAGUGUCUCCCAG